AGCGAACGCUGGCGGCAGGCCUAACACAUGCAAGUCGAACGAACCUUUCGGGGUUAGUGGCGGACGGGGGGGUAACACGUGGGAACGUGCCUUUAGGUUCGGAAUAACUCAGGGAGACUUGUGCUAAUACCGAAUGUGCCCUUCGGGGGAAAGAUUUAUCGCCUUUAGAGCGGCCCGCGUCUGAUUAGCUAGUUGGUUGAGGUAAUGGCUCACCAAGGCGACGAUCAGUAGCUGGUCUGAGAGGAUGAUCAGCCACAUUGGGACUGAGACACGGCCCAAACUCCUACGGGAGGCAGCAGUGGGGAAUCUUGCGCAAUGGGCGAAAGCCUGACGCAGCCAUGCCGCGUGAAUGAUGAAGGUCUUAGGAUUGUAAAAUUCUUUCACCGGGGACGAUAAUGACGGUACCCGGAGAAGAAGCCCCGGCUAACUUCGUG
RNAcentral lists this ribosomal RNA (434 nucleotides) under uncultured bacterium. RNAcentral's name for it is "partial 16S ribosomal RNA". It matches the Rfam family "Bacterial small subunit ribosomal RNA", at positions 29 to 507 of the family's 1533-position model. The record is from RNAcentral.